This 378-nucleotide ribosomal RNA is filed under the name uncultured bacterium. Its description in RNAcentral is "bacterial SSU rRNA". It matches the Rfam family "Bacterial small subunit ribosomal RNA", at positions 28 to 408 of the family's 1533-position model. The record is from RNAcentral.
GACGAACGCUGGCGGCGUGCUUAACACAUGCAAGUCGAGCGGUAAGGCCCUUUCGGGGGUACACGAGCGGCGAACGGGUGAGUAACACGUGGGUGACCUGCCCUCAGCUCUGGGAUAAGCCUGGGAAACCGGGUCUAAUACUGGAUAUGACUCCAUGACGCAUGUUGUGGGGUGGAAAGCCUUGUGCGGCUGAGGAUGGGCCCGCGGCCUAUCAGCUUGUUGGGGGGUGAUGGCCUACCAAGGCGACGACGGGUAGCCGGCCUGAGAGGGCGACCGGCCACACUGGGACUGAGACACGGCCCAGACUCCUACGGGAGGCAGCAGUGGGGAAUCUUGCGCAAUGGGCGAAAGCCUGACGCAGCGACGCCGCGUGAGGGA